GACGAACGCUGGCGGCAUGCCUAACACAUGCAAGUCGAACGAGACCUUCGGGUCUAGGGGCGCACGGGGGCGUAACGCGGGGGAAGCUGCCCUUAGGUUCGGAAUAACUCCCCGAGAGGGGUGCUAAUGCCGGAGAAUGUCUUCGGACCAAAGAUCUAUCGCCAUUGGCUGGGCGCGCGUUGGAUUAGCUGGUUGGUAGGGUAAAAGCAUACCAAGGCGACGAUCCUUAGCUGGUCUGAGAGGAUGAUCCGCCACACUGGGAGUGAGACACGGCCCAGACUCCGACGGGAGGGAGGAGUGGGGAAUAUUGUACAAUGGGGGAAAGCGUGAUCACGCCAUGCCCGGUGAGUGAGGAAUGCCGUAGUGUUGUAAAGCCCUUUUACCCGGGAUGAUAAUGACAGUACCGGGAGAAUAAGCUCCGGCUAACUACGUG
RNAcentral lists this ribosomal RNA (433 nucleotides) under uncultured bacterium. RNAcentral's name for it is "partial 16S ribosomal RNA". It matches the Rfam family "Bacterial small subunit ribosomal RNA", at positions 28 to 507 of the family's 1533-position model. The record is from RNAcentral.